This 104-nucleotide ribosomal RNA is filed under the name Treponema sp. Lineage: Bacteria; Pseudomonadati; Spirochaetota; Spirochaetia; Treponematales; Treponemataceae. The record is from RNAcentral.
GGUGGGGGUGUUAUACCCGAUCCCUUUCCGAACUCGGAAGUCAAGCCCCCUUACGCCGAUGAUACUGCCGCCCGGAGCGGCGGGAAAGUAGGUUGUCGCCAGGC